AGUGAACGCUGGCGGUAGGCCUAACACAUGCAAGUCGAACGGCAGCACAGUAAGAGCUUGCUCUUACGGGUGGCGAGUGGCGGACGGGUGAGGAAUACAUCGGAAUCUACUUUUUCGGGGGGAUAACGGAGGGAAACUUACGCUAAUACCGCAUACGACCUACGGGUGAAAGCAGGGGAUCUUCGGACCUUGCGCGAAUGAAUGAGCCGAUUUCGGAUUAGCUAGUUGGCGGGGUAAAGGCCCACCAAGGCGACGAUCCGUAGCUGGUCUGAGAGGAUGAUCAGCCACACUGGAACUGAGACCCGGUCCAGACUCCUACGGGAGGCGGCAGUGGGGAAUAUUGGACAAUGGGCGCAAUCCUGCUCCAGCCAUCCCGCGUGGGUGAAGAAGGCCUUCGGGUUGUAAACCCCUUUUGUUGGGAAAGAAAAGCAGCAGGUUAAUACCCCGCUGUUCUGACGGUACCCAAAGAAUAAGCCCCGGCUAACUUCGUG
Molecule: ribosomal RNA, 491 nt
Filed under: uncultured bacterium
Lineage: Bacteria
Description: partial 16S ribosomal RNA
Rfam family: Bacterial small subunit ribosomal RNA
Source: RNAcentral